GACGAACGCUGGCGGCGUGCCUAAUACAUGCAAGUAGAACGCUGAAGGAGGAGCUUGCUUCUCUGGAUGAGUUGCGAACGGGUGAGUAACGCGUAUAUAACCUGCCUGGUAGCGGGGGAUAACUAUUGGAAACGAUAGCUAAUACCGCAUAAGAGUAGAUGUUGCAUGACAUUUUCUUAAAAGGUGCAAUUUCAUCACUACCAGAUGGCCCUGCGUUGUAUUAGCUAGUUGGUGGGGUAACGGCUUACCAAGGCGACGAUACAUAGCCGACCUGAGAGGGUGAUCGGCCACACUGGGACUGAGACACGGCCCAGACUCCUACGGGAGGCAGCAGUAGGGAAUCUUCGGCAAUGGACGGAAGUCUGACCGAGCAACGCCGCGUGAGUGAAGAAGGUUUUCGGAUCGUAAAGCUCUGUUGUAAGAGAAGAACGAGUGUGAGAGUGGAAAGUUCACACUGUGACGGUAUCUUACCAGAAAGGGACGGCUAACUACGUG
This 495-nucleotide ribosomal RNA is filed under the name uncultured bacterium. RNAcentral's name for it is "partial 16S ribosomal RNA". It matches the Rfam family "Bacterial small subunit ribosomal RNA", at positions 28 to 507 of the family's 1533-position model. The record is from RNAcentral.